Molecule: long non-coding RNA, 1712 nt
Filed under: Triticum aestivum (bread wheat)
Lineage: Eukaryota; Viridiplantae; Streptophyta; Magnoliopsida; Poales; Poaceae
Description: long non-coding RNA (TAES_LNC004067)
Source: RNAcentral
UCCUCUUGGUUCUCAGGAGGGACCCUUUAACAUCCUUGAGAACAUAAAAAUCUUAACAAAGCAAGCACUAUGUUUGCAGUCCUUCUCCUGAAUAUGCAAAUUCUUUCUCAGAAUGUAGAUUUACAUCAACCACAUGCUUCAGAGUUCCCUAGCAAAAAAACAAACAAACUCCAGAAUACAUAUGUUUGCAUCAUAGAAGUAUAAAGCUAUGAGAAGCAUUGUAAUGUAUACUCACUUCGAGCAAACUAACAGCCACCGUAAUUCUUUCAAUUUGAAUUUAAUCUUGGCAUUGUUGUUGAUGAACUGCCUGAUUGGGAAGCAGAUUUUUCCUUCUGCACAAGCUUUCAGUCCAGGAUUAUCCAAAAACAUUUAUCCUAACCUAAGAAAUCAUAUUAACCAAUGAAUAUGAAGCCUGGAAGAAAAAAAGAGACACAGUAUAGCUAUAAGUGUACGUAUUCUGGAGUUUCUAUCUCACCAUAACCGAGAGCUCCUGCAUAAUGGCGGCAUAUCAGGAUCUUUCUGGUGGCCGCCCUAAAGUUUACGUCGGAUGAUGAUGGACUGCAGACCUUCUUGGUGACAUGAAGGCAAGGUGCUGCGCCCGCAGCCAAAAGCAAACAAGGAAGUCGACAGCUAUGAAUCAGCAGCGCCAACCCGCCACGCUUUGGAACCAUGACCUCAUCUUCCUAUGUCGGCGAUUAGGCCAGCGCCGCCGCUGUCCGCUCCUCCCUCUCUCUUAUCUCUCCCUUUCUCUCCCCCAUCUCUCUUCCAAGGCGGGCGCACGGGACGGGAGGCAUCCCUCACCUUGAUCCAGAAGGCGCGCGGCAGCGGAUGGAUCGGUGGCGGGGCGACGAACACAGCCGCCACUGGCGGCGACUUUUCCUGGAGAGAGAUGGGGUCGGGGUCGGGAGCGAGUUGGGAGUUGGGAGUUGGGGGGAGGCGGAGACGUGAGUGCGUGUUAGCGACAGUUUUUUCCUCUCUGUGUUCGGUCGGGGAUGGGAGGAAGUGUGGGCUGGUUUCUGGGCCACGUCCAACACGGGGUGGGUUGCUUUUUUAUGCGCAGGAGGAAGGCAGUAUCGAUGGUACGUGGGCUUGCGGGCUGGAUAUUGUGCGGGCGUGUGGGACAUCGAGCGAUGGCUGUUGUACGAGGCGGGGGAUCGAACGAGGUGGUCGAACCAUCACGGCGUUCGAUUCCCCUAUAAUAGUAGAGAUGUAGCCCAUAUCGAAAUCUCUAAAACGACUUAUAUUUAGAAACGGAGGGAGUACAAUAGUAACUAUUCUAACAAACAGUCGUUCUUGCAUGUCAUUUAGUUUUGCACUAUGACAAAAGUACAUAUAAUGACUUUUUGGCAAGUUCUGUACAGAGGAUAGUCACACCUACUUGAUGAUGUGAGAUGUUGAAGCUGUUCUUGCCGGGUACUGCAAAAUUAAGAACAAAGCAAUAAAUCACCAUAGAAAAACAAAGUGCACUGUGUAAUUAUGAAUCAAUAAGUCAAGCAAUAAAUGACGCUAGUGGUUCGCGAUAGAUGAAGAGAAGGCCAAAUCUGGAAUACCAUCACGUGAACAUGACUACAUGAGGGAUUAGAACCAAGAAACGAGGGAUUCUCACCAGCGAGCUUCUGAUUCGCUACCAUCACGUAGAAUGUCUACCUCAUCUUCCUGCUCACAUUCGUCUUCCUUCCAAUGCAACACCAGCUAGUCCAACGCAACAGCAG